UUAAGCUACUAAGGGCGUAUGGUGGAUGCCUUGGCACCAAGAAGCGAUGAAGGCCGUGGAUAACUGCGAAAAGCCUCGAUAAGCCGUAGCAGGCGUUAUAGUCGGGGAUUGCCGAAUGGGGAAACCCACCUAUUUACUAGGUAUCUUCCAAUGAAUUCAUAGUUGGAUGAAGCGAACGAGGGGAAGUGAAACAUCUCAGUACCCUCAGGAAAAGAAAUCUAUGAGAUUCCCUCAGUAGUGGCGAGCGAAAGGGGAACAGCCUAAACCUAAUUCAUGUAAAUGAAUCAGGGGUCGUGGGACCUCAAUAUGGGACCGAACAACUUAGCAGAGCGUUCUGGAAAGAACGGCCAAAGAGGGUGAUAGCCCCGUAAGCGAAAAGUUGUGAAGCCCUAGAGGAAUCCCGAGUACCACCGGACACGUGUAAUCCGGUGGGAAUCAGGGGGGACCACCCUCCAAGGCUAAAUAUUACUUCCGAACAAGUGGAAGUUGAAAAUUCCUUUGAUGAGCUGUGGAUAGGGGUGAAAGGCCAAUCAAACUGGGUGAUAGCUGGUUCUCUUCGAAAUAUAUUUAGGUAUAGCCUCGGAUAAAUUUUAUGGCGGAGGUAGAGCACUGAAUGGGCUAGGGGUCUUUACCAGAUUACCAAACCCAACCAAACUCCGAAUGCCGUUCAUAAGUACUCCGGGAGGCAGACACGGGGUGAUAAGGUCACGUGUCGAGAGGGAAAGAGCCCAGACCAACAGCUAAGGUCCCAAAAUGCAUGCUAAGUGGAGAACGUUGUGGGGUUACUGAGACAACUAGGAGGUUGGCUUAGAAGCAGCAAUCCUUUAAAGAAAGCGUAAUAGCUCACUAGUCUAGUGACCCUGCGCGGAAGAUAUAACGGGGCUCAAGCAUGUUACCGAAGCUUUGGAUGUGCAGCAAGUGCUGCACGUGGUAGAAGAGCGUUCUAGUGUAGGCUGAAGGUCAAUCGUGAGGAUGGCUGGACGAACUAGAAGUGAUCAUGUUCACGUAAGUAGCGUUUAACACGAGUGAAAAACUCGUGCGCCGUAAACUCAAGGGUUCCGGGGCAAGGAUAAUCCUCCUCAGGGUUAGUCGGGUCCUAAGGCGAGGCCAAUAGGCGUAGUCGAUGGCAACACGGUUAAUAUUCCGUGACCAGAAUAAACGUAGUUAAGGAGUGACGGGGUAGGUAGUCUCGAGCCUUUAUUGGUUCUGGGUUGAAGUGUUUAGGAGGUAACGUAGGCAAAUCCGCGUUGCAACUCUGAGACAUAAGCGACUGUGCUUUACGCACGGGAGUCGAGAUGAGCCAUGCCUCCAAGAAAAUCUUCGUAAUGUUUUUUUAUUCUGCCCGUACCGUAAACCGACUCAGGUGAGUGGGAUGAAUAUUCUCAGGCGAUUGGGUUAAAUCUGGUUAAGGAACUCGGCAACUUAACACCGUAACUUCGGGAAAAGGUGUGUCUCGCCCCGUGAGGGGCAGAUCGCAGAGAAAUGGGAGUAGCGACUGUUUAUCAAAAACACAGGCAUGUGCAAAGUCUCAAGACGACGUAUACGUGCUGACGCCUGCCCGGUGCUGGAAGGUUAAGAGGAUUAGUUAGCCGCAAGGCGAGGCUGAGAAUCGAAGCCCCAGUAAACGGCGGCCGUAACUAUAACGGUCCUAAGGUAGCGAAAUUCCUUGUCGGGUAAGUUCCGACCUGCACGAAUGGCGUAACGACUUCUCCGGUGUCUCAAC
RNAcentral lists this ribosomal RNA (1723 nucleotides) under bacterium. Its description in RNAcentral is "partial 23S ribosomal RNA". It matches the Rfam family "Bacterial large subunit ribosomal RNA", at positions 3 to 2025 of the family's 2925-position model. The record is from RNAcentral.